RNAcentral lists this ribosomal RNA (468 nucleotides) under uncultured bacterium. Its description in RNAcentral is "partial 16S ribosomal RNA". It matches the Rfam family "Bacterial small subunit ribosomal RNA", at positions 28 to 507 of the family's 1533-position model. The record is from RNAcentral.
GACGAACGCUGGCGGCGUGCUUAACACAUGCAAGUCGAACGGAAAGGCCCUGCUUUUUUGGGGUUCUCGAGUGCCGAUCGGGUGAGUAACACGUGAGUAACCUGCCCUUGACUUUGGGAUAACUUCAGGAAACUGGGGCUAAUACCGGAUAGGAGCUCCUGCUGCAUGGUGGGGGUUGGAAAGUUUCGGCGGUUGGGGAUGGACUCGCGGCUUAUCAGCUUGUUGGUGGGGUAGUGGCUUACCAAGGCUUUGACGGGUCGCCGGCCUGAGAGGGUGACCGGCCACAUUGGGACUGCGAUACGGCCCAGACGGCUACGGGAGGCAGCGGUGGGGAAUAUUGCACAAUGGGCGGAAGCCUGAUGCAGCAGCGCCGCGUGCGGAAUGACGGUCUUCGGGGUGUAAACCGCUUUCGGCUGUGACGAAGCGUGAGUGACGGUAACGGAUAAAGAAGCACCGGCUAACUACGUG